Molecule: ribosomal RNA, 485 nt
Filed under: uncultured beta proteobacterium
Lineage: Bacteria; Pseudomonadati; Pseudomonadota; Betaproteobacteria
Description: bacterial SSU rRNA
Rfam family: Bacterial small subunit ribosomal RNA
Source: RNAcentral
AUUGAACGCUGGCGGCAUGCCUUACACAUGCAAGUCGAACGGCAGCGCGGGGGCAACCCUGGCGGCGAGUGGCGAACGGGUGAGUAAUACAUCGGAACGUGUCCUGGAGUGGGGGAUAGCCCGGCGAAAGCCGGAUUAAUACCGCAUACGAUCUUGGGAUGAAAGCGGGGGACCGAAAGGCCUCGCGCUCAAGGGGCGGCCGAUGGCAGAUUAGCUAGUUGGUGGGGUAAAGGCCUACCAAGGCGACGAUCUGUAGCUGGUCUGAGAGGACGACCAGCCACACUGGGACUGAGACACGGCCCAGACUCCUACGGGAGGCAGCAGUGGGGAAUUUUGGACAAUGGGGGCAACCCUGAUCCAGCAAUGCCGCGUGUGUGAAGAAGGCCUUCGGGUUGUAAAGCACUUUUGUCCGGAAAGAAAACCUCCGUCCUAAUACGGUGGGGGGAUGACGGUACCGGAAGAAUAAGCACCGGCUAACUACGUGC